This 257-nucleotide ribosomal RNA is filed under the name uncultured bacterium. RNAcentral describes it as "partial 16S ribosomal RNA". It matches the Rfam family "Bacterial small subunit ribosomal RNA", at positions 524 to 776 of the family's 1533-position model. The record is from RNAcentral.
UACAGAGACCUCAAGCGUUAUCCGGAAUCAUUGGGCGUAAAGCGUACCGAUAGGUGGUUAAGAUAGUCAGAUGUGAAAUCUCCGAGCUCAACUCGGAAUCUGUCAUUUGAAACUUCUUGACUAGAGGGGCAAAGAGGAAGCUGGAACGAACGGUGUAGUAGUAAAAUGCGUUGAUAUCGUUCGGAACACCGAUAGCGAAGGCAGGCUUCUGGGUGCCACCUGACACUGCUAGGACGAAAGCGUGGGGAGCGAAUGGG